AACUGAUCAGAGGAGAGCGGCAAACGGCGUAGUAAUGCGUAGAUACUCACCCUUCGGACCGGGAUAGCCAGUGGAAACUCUGGGUAAUACCGGAUAAACUCUGCGGAGCAAAGGUGCGAUUCCGCCGGAGGACAGGUCUACGUGAUAUUAGCUUGAUGGUGGGGUAAUGGCCUACCAUGGCGAUGAUGUCUCGGGGGUGUGAGAGCAUGGCCCCCACGACCGGAACUGAGACACUGUCCGGACACCUACGGGUGGCUGCAGUCGAGAAUCUUCCGCAAUGGGCGCAAGCCUGACGGAGCGACGCCGCGUGCGGGAUGAAGGCCCUUGGGUUGUAAACCGCUGUCAGAGGGGAUGAAAUCAUGGUUGGCUAUCUGAUCAUGUUGACAAAGCCUCAGAGGAAGCACGGGCUAAGUACGUGCCAGCAGCCGCGGUAACACGUACUGUGCGAACGUUAUUCGGAAUCACUGGGCUUAAAGGGUACGUAGGCGGUUCAUCAAGUCAGGUGUGAAAUGCCAGAGCUCAACUGUGGCACUGCGCUUGAAACUGAUGGGCUAGAGUAUUCCAGGGUGUGUGCGGAACUGCCAGUGGAGCGGUGAAAUGCGUUGAUAUUGGCAGGAACACCGGAGGCGAAGGCGGCACACCGGGGGAUAAACUGACGCUGAGGUACGAAAGCCCAGGGUAAGCGAACGGGAUUAGAUACCCCGGUAGUCCUGGCUGUAAACGAUGAGCACUGGGCG
RNAcentral lists this ribosomal RNA (737 nucleotides) under uncultured organism. Its description in RNAcentral is "bacterial SSU rRNA". It matches the Rfam family "Bacterial small subunit ribosomal RNA", at positions 79 to 822 of the family's 1533-position model. The record is from RNAcentral.